UCGAGAAUAUUUGUCAAUGGGCGAAAGCCUGAACAAGCGACGCCGCGUGCAGGAUGAAGGCCUUCGGGUCGUAAACUGCGGUAGUAAGGGAAGAAUGCAUUUCGUUUUACGGUGUGCAUGACGGUACCUUACGGAAAGAGGUGGGUAACUACGUGCCAGCACCAGCGGUAAUACGUAGACCUCAAGCAUUAUCCGAAUUUAUUGGGCGUAAAGAGCAUGUAGGAGGUCAGAUGCGUCUUCGGUUAAAGCCCACUGCCUAACGGUGGAAGUGCCGAGGAUACGAUUUGACUAGAGGAGGUUAGAGGUACAUGGAACGCACGGUGUAGGGGUGAAAUCCGUUGAUAUCGUGCGGAACACCAAAGGCGAAGGCAGUGUACUGGGACCUUCCUGACUCUGAGAU
RNAcentral lists this ribosomal RNA (400 nucleotides) under uncultured bacterium. RNAcentral describes it as "bacterial SSU rRNA". It matches the Rfam family "Bacterial small subunit ribosomal RNA", at positions 355 to 752 of the family's 1533-position model. The record is from RNAcentral.